This is an RNA transcript of Cucumis sativus (cucumber), 1073 nucleotides long. It is a transcript of the gene named E3 ubiquitin-protein ligase RGLG3-like, with no coding region annotated. Lineage: Eukaryota; Viridiplantae; Streptophyta; Magnoliopsida; Cucurbitales; Cucurbitaceae. The record is from RefSeq and is a predicted model, not a curated record. The transcript is spliced from 5 exons.
ACUCUCAAUUUUCAUCUCCAUCUCUCUUUUGGUUCCUCUCAAUCGCCAUCUCCAUCUCUGCUACACUCUCAAUUUUCAUCUCCAUCUCUCUUUUGGUUCCUCUCAAUCAUCAUCUCCAUCUCUGCUCUCUUAUUGUCGCUCCUUCCAAAUCCGUCCAUCGGAUUUCUUCGACCUCUCGAACUCGGCUGGCGUCAAGGCAUUGGAGCUUCGCAUUGGCUAGGGUGAAACCCCCCUUGAUGGAGAUCGGGGUGGAGUCAUCUUUCAGUAUCCAUUAAACGAAAGCUCAUGGCAAAAUGGCCAUUACUCUACAGCUCAUGGCCACUGUGAGGAGAGAAUCUGUAUAUGGAAAAAGUGCAGGGCCACUUCCUCCUCCUCCUGAAGUCAUCAAUUAUGACAAUGCAGUUGCAAACCAAAUUUUGGAGAAUGCAAAAGCUGAAAAACAUAGUUCCUCAUCUGAAUCGGUAACUUCGCUUUUAUUUUAUUUAUGGAGUUUUCUAAGAAUGAGAGAACCAAACAUGUGUGGCUUUACAAUUACUCUAGGAAAAUUUUGUUGAAAUCUGGGGUUUAAGAUUGAUUAAGGCAACAAGUUGUGAGAGCCUUGUCUACUGAAACAAAAGAAAUUUCUCUUUUGUUUCAUGACUUCAUUAAUAUAAAUUAUUAAUUAAAUGUCUCUUGUUCAAGGUCUGCCCCAUAUGCCUCACAAACCCAAAGGACAUGGCUUUUGCAUGUGGUCAUACAACUCUGGCCUUAUGUGUUUGAAGCUAUUUUCUGAUCGAUCCAUUGUAGUGAUGAAGCUACGAAGCAAGUGAUUGAUGUUUGGUUAGUGACAAGAUUUAUUGUAAUUUUGUUAUUCAUGACAAUAUAACCUUGUUGUAUUUAGUUUCUUUGUAAAAAUAUAUUACCCACGUUCAGUUUCUAUUUUGCUUGUAUUUGUCCCUUCGGAAAAUUUCGAUAGAUUUUCUACACUUAGUUUCUUUGUAAAAAUGUUAUCUAUGAAAUCUAAUGUAAAGCCUAUUUCAUUAUGUAUAUGUAAAGUCUUGGAAUUGAAUAUAUAUGGUGAAUGGUUUUAUUUA